Molecule: ribosomal RNA, 273 nt
Filed under: Epsilonematidae sp. 500_5-1000
Lineage: Eukaryota; Metazoa; Nematoda; Chromadorea; Desmodorida; Epsilonematidae
Description: partial 18S ribosomal RNA
Rfam family: Eukaryotic small subunit ribosomal RNA
Source: RNAcentral
UUGGCUCAUUACAACAGCCGUUGUUUCUUGGAUCUUACUUUACUUGGAUAACUGUGGUAAUUCUAGAGCUAAUACAUGCAACUCAGCUCCGACCUCAGGGAAGGAGCGCAUUUAUUAGACCAAGACCAAUCAGAUCCUCUGGGUCUGAAGCUUGGUGACUCUGAAUAACUUUGCUGAUCACACGGUCCUAGCACCGGUGACAUAUCUUUCAAGUGUCUGCCCUAUCAACUUUCGAUGGUAGUUUAUGUGCCUACCAUGGUUGUAACGGGUAAC